GGUUAUGUAACAUAGUGGUCAUGUACUGGAUUGCAAAUCCAAGAACGACAGUUCGAUUCUGUCCAUAACCU
This 71-nucleotide transfer RNA is filed under the name Prasinococcus sp. CCMP1194. Its description in RNAcentral is "tRNA-Cys". It matches the Rfam family "tRNA". From Rfam's summary of the family: Transfer RNA (tRNA) molecules are approximately 80 nucleotides in length. Their secondary structure includes four short double-helical elements and three loops (D, anti-codon, and T loops). The record is from RNAcentral. Lineage: Eukaryota; Viridiplantae; Prasinodermophyta; Palmophyllophyceae; Prasinococcales; Prasinococcaceae.